Molecule: ribosomal RNA, 430 nt
Filed under: uncultured bacterium
Lineage: Bacteria
Description: bacterial SSU rRNA
Rfam family: Bacterial small subunit ribosomal RNA
Source: RNAcentral
UCGAGAAUCUUUCGCAAUGGGGGAAACCCUGACGACGCGACGCCGCGUGGAGGAUGAAGGCCUUCGGGUUGUAAACUCCUGUCAGCAGGGGAGAACAAGCUUUUGGUGAAUAACUGAUAGCUUUGACAGUACCUGCAGAGGAAGCCACGGCUAACUCUGUGCCAGCAGCCGCGGUAAUACAGAGGUGGCAAGCGUUGUUCGGAUUUAUUGGGCGUAAAGGGUCCGUAGGCGGCCUGAAAAGUUGGAUGUGAAAUCCCACAGCUUAACUGUGGAACUGCAUUCAAAACUCUCAGGCUCGAGUGUGAUAGGGGUAAAGGGAAUUCCCGGUGUAAGGGUGAAAUCUGCAGAGAUCGGGAGGAACACCAGUCGCGAAGGCGCUUUACUGGAUCACUACUGACGCUGAGGGACGAAAGCCAGGGGAGCAAACGGG